CCGAGGACCCGACGGAGCUACACCCGCUAGUUCAGCCAGGAGGCCCUGCGCGGCUCCGGGGAGAGCUGGGUGGUUAUGCCACCUCAUUAGACACAUUGGUGGACGAUGCCGCGGAUUAGCGGGUUGGCUCUCAGGGCGGGGCGCAGGCUUUCUCACUGAUCCGGGAGCGUGGGAGCAGGGGCAACGCGGGGCCAUCCGGGAGCUGCCCGCCUGCUUCGCAGUUGGCUUUCCGGGCCCUCGAGCAACGUCUGACUUUGCCCUUUGUUUUUAAACACCAUGCAGGAUGGUUUGUGUACAAACGAAGCCGUGUCACUUCUCAAGUGUCGGUGCUCAACGUGGCAACGCCCCUCCCGCCCCCAGUACAGAGAUCCUGCCCAUCCACCGACAAUCCCCCUCCUCAUCUUCCUUCCCCCAGGUGCGAGUGAUUCAAGGAAAUCCGACUGGAGGGAACACACGCUGCGAUGCACCCUCUCCUCUUCCAUUGAGCCAGGGGUGACCUUGAGAGACUCAGGCCACCUCACCAGGCUCUACCAGGAACAGCGUCUACAGCUGGUAGAGAGCACGGGCUGCAGAGAGAAAUCAAUACAGAACUCUGGAACCCACUGCUUUAGAAGAUAAGAAUCUCUUUCCUGCUCCGAUCAUUCUGGCUUGCCUUGGAUUUAAGGCUCUUCCAGAAGGACCUGGCCCUGAUUCACUGGGAUAAUGUCCACCAUGUCCAGGGGCACUGCCCAGAGGGGGUACUUUUCAUAUUCUCUACCAACUAAUCUUCCACCUGCCAGCCUAGGGGGCAGUGAGUGGAGAACGCUGGGAAUUCAGGGUUGGGGAGGAGGGACAGCAACAGGAAAAGAUUGAACAUAUGUGCCAAUUAGGCCAGGAGAUGAGGACCCCAGACCCGGAAGAAGGAGGAAGAAGAAAGACACACUUGAUCUUCCUGCUUAGAAUGUUGGCAGAAGUCAUAUUCAAAAGAUAAGAGAAUCAAGACUUAUGAAACAAAAGAAAACCAAAGAAAGGCAACACGGCCGAUGCUAGGUGGGGAUUACUAGCUAGUAAAGAGCUGUCGAGUGUUUGAUGCCAUUUAUUCAUUUGAGCUCUCCAGUUGCCUAGUUUUUCAUUCAACAAGUGUCGUCUGAAGGUGUUGUGUGGACAGAACGUUGUGUGGGAUCCAAAGCUGAAACAGAUACUUAAGUCUGUGCUCUAGUAAAUAAGAUAGGACACGCAUAUUUACCCCACAGGGAGCAAUAAAUACUCUAAGACCAUUACAAAUUGUUCUGGGAGUUCAGAGGAGGGAAUUUAUUUCUAGUCCAGAGCAAUGAAGGGUGACCUCCUGGAGGAAGUGGCAGUUGAAUGGGGGCCUUGAAGGAUGGGUGAGAUUUAAACAUGCAAACUAUCAGCAAGGGAAACGGGAGAGCAACGCAGGAGCAAACAUCAAGAUGGGAAAACACAAAGCAUGUAGGGGAAACACAAAUGCAAUAUUUUGUAUUAUGGGCGAGGCUCUACAAGAGGCACUGGAUUGCAAUGGGACUAUUGUUUCCAGGGGCCCUCUGGGCUGGUGGUCAAACUACUGGAACUAUCACUAUUUCAGACCAAGCCGGGCUCACAAGUCUUAGCUGUUCUUGCCAAUUCUUCUCCUGAAUACUCACUCCAAUAAGAGCAGUCAGGAAAUGUUUCUUGGGAAAUAGCUUCAAAGACACCAACAUACCACUAUGAACACUUAAAAUAUGGAGACAGAGCAUUUGGAGUACUGCUCCCAGCAUGUUGGAGGGAAAAGAAGCAAGACCCUUCCCAGAGGUAAAUCCUGUUGUUUUCUUCCCAGUGCUUGGGCAUCCAAUCCCACAUUCAUCCUUUUCCUCUAACUUAUCUUUUCAUGACUUUGGAAAGCAGUCUUCCUUAUCUAAGAAACAAAUGGCCUCCCCGGAGAGCUCAAAACAGCAAAGUCAUUUAUCUGUUUGACAUGUGUUUGCCUGUUUGUUUUCUCCAGCCUUGAGACAAGAGUUGUGUCAACUGUGGAUGGCUGUGCCCCAGUCACUUGAGAGACAUGAAUCAAUUUCCAGCUGCAUUUAUCACUUGCUGCCUUAAAUCAAGUCUAAUCAAUGCUUCCUUCAUUUGGUAUGGAUUGAAACUAUAUAUAACACACUCAGAAAACAGGAGAGAAAAGCAGCAGAUCACAAAAAUUCCAUCAGGGAUUUAGAUGGAAUGAUGUUAGAGAAACAUUUGCAAUCUUUCAUUUGCUCUAAUGGAGACCCCUGACCAAACAAUCAGAGAUUUGCGUUUAUGAAGCUUCAUUUGAAUUUACCUGACAUGCAAUGACAUUCCAUGACAGGUCAUUUGAUACAUUGGGGGGGGGGGGUGGUUUCUGCAUCUUUAAGGAUUUUAUAAUUAAUACACUCUUAGGAUCUGAUGUAUAUUUAUAAUUUUAUUCCUAUACUAAGUUUUAAACUCAUUUCCAUUUAUUUUAGAGAUAUCUGUUUUGUCAUCAUUGACUAUAUAAGUCAAUUUCCAGUUAUAACAUAUAAAGUAAUAAAAAUCCCUUUGUAACAAAGUAGA
This 2544-nucleotide long non-coding RNA is filed under the name Homo sapiens (human). Its description in RNAcentral is "HSALNT0312509". Lineage: Eukaryota; Metazoa; Chordata; Mammalia; Primates; Hominidae. The record is from RNAcentral.